This 497-nucleotide ribosomal RNA is filed under the name uncultured bacterium. RNAcentral's name for it is "partial 16S ribosomal RNA". It matches the Rfam family "Bacterial small subunit ribosomal RNA", at positions 28 to 507 of the family's 1533-position model. The record is from RNAcentral.
GUUGAACGCUGGCGGCGUGCCUAAUACAUGCAAGUCGAGCGAACGGACGAGAAGCUUGCUUCUCUGAUGUUAGCGGCGGACGGGUGAGUAAAACGUGGAGAACCUACCUAUAGGACUGGGAUAACUUCGGGAAACCGUUGCUAAUUCCGUCUUAUAUUUUGAACCGCAUGGUUCAAAAGCGAAAGACGGUCUUGCUGUCACUUAUAGGUGUAUCCGCGCUGCAUUAGCUAGUUGGUAAGGUAACGGCUUACCAAGGCGACGAUGCAUAGCCGACCUGAGAGGAUGAUCGGCCACACUGGAACUGAGACACGGUCCAGACUCCUACGGGAGGCAGCAGUAGGGAAUAUUCCGCAAUGGGCGAAAGCCUGACGGAGCCAUGCCGCGUGAGUGAAGAAGGUCUUCGGAUCGUAAAGCUCUGUUAUUAGGGAGGAAGAGAUGUAUAAGUAACUGUGCACAUCUUGACGUUACCUACACAGAAAGCCCCGGCUAACUACGUG